RNAcentral lists this ribosomal RNA (498 nucleotides) under uncultured bacterium. RNAcentral's name for it is "partial 16S ribosomal RNA". It matches the Rfam family "Bacterial small subunit ribosomal RNA", at positions 29 to 523 of the family's 1533-position model. The record is from RNAcentral.
AUUGAACGCUGGCGGCAUGCCUUACACAUGCAAGUCGAACGGUAACGCGGGGCAACCUGGCGACGAGUGGCGAACGGGUGAGUAAUGCAUCGGAACGUGCCCAGUAGUGGGGGAUAGCCCGGCGAAAGCCGGAUUAAUAUCGCAUACGACCUACGGGUGAAAGGGGGGGAUCGCAAGACCUCCCGCUAUUGGAGCGGCCGAUGUCAGAUUAGCUAGUUGGUGGGGUAAAAGCCUACCAAGGCGACGAUCUGUAGCUGAUCUGAGAGGACGACCAGCCACACUGGGACUGAGACACGGCCCAGACUCCUACGGGAGGCAGCAGUGGGGAAUUUUGGACAAUGGGCGAAAGCCUGAUCCAGCCAUGCCGCGUGCGGGAAGAAGGCCUUCGGGUUGUAAACCGCUUUUGUCAGGGAAGAAAUCUUCUGAGUUAAUACCUCGGGAGGAUGACGGUACCUGAAGAAUAAGCACCGGCUAACUACGUGCCAGCCGCCGCGGUAA